GCCGAAGUGGCGGAAUGGCAGACGCAUGCGACUCAAAAUCGCACGGGGAAACCCGUGUGGGUUCAACUCCCACCUUCGGCA
Molecule: transfer RNA, 81 nt
Filed under: Chloroflexota bacterium
Lineage: Bacteria; Bacillati; Chloroflexota
Description: Chloroflexi bacterium (groundwater metagenome) tRNA-Leu
Rfam family: tRNA
About the family: Transfer RNA (tRNA) molecules are approximately 80 nucleotides in length. Their secondary structure includes four short double-helical elements and three loops (D, anti-codon, and T loops).
Source: RNAcentral